RNAcentral lists this ribosomal RNA (230 nucleotides) under uncultured bacterium. Its description in RNAcentral is "partial 16S ribosomal RNA". It matches the Rfam family "Bacterial small subunit ribosomal RNA", at positions 562 to 791 of the family's 1533-position model. The record is from RNAcentral.
AAAGCGUGCGCAGGCGGUUAUGUAAGACAGAUGUGAAAUCCCCGGGCUCAACCUGGGAACUGCAUUUGUGACUGCAUGGCUUGAGUACGGUAGAGGGGGAUGGAAUUCCGCGUGUAGCAGUGAAAUGCGUAGAUAUGCGGAGGAACACCGAUGGCGAAGGCAAUCCCCUGGACCUGUACUGACGCUCAUGCACGAAAGCGUGGGGAGCAAACAGGAUUAGAUACCCCAGU